GACCUGGUGGUGAAGGGUCUCACAUCCGCACUCUGUACGAAAAUCAGCAUUUCUGCGGAAGGCCCUGGUUCGACUCCAGGCUAGGUCG
Non-coding RNA from Mycena vulgaris, 88 nucleotides. The record is from the annotation of a GenBank genome assembly. NCBI's taxonomy places the organism in Eukaryota, Fungi, Basidiomycota, Agaricomycetes, Agaricales, Mycenaceae.